Molecule: non-coding RNA, 21 nt
Filed under: Rattus norvegicus (Norway rat)
Lineage: Eukaryota; Metazoa; Chordata; Mammalia; Rodentia; Muridae
Source: RNAcentral
CUGUGCCCUUUCAAGAUGCCC